GGACUACUGGGGUUUCUAAUCCUGUUUGCUCCCCUUGCUUUCGCGCCUCAGCGUCAGGUAUAAGCUAGAAAACCGCCUUCGCCACUGGUGUUCUUCCACAUAUCUACGCAUUUCACCGCUACUUGUGGAAUUCCGUUUUCUCCGCCUACCCUCUAGAAAUGUAGUUUCAAAUGCUGUUCCGGGGUUGAGCCCCGGGAUUUCACAUCUGACUGGCAUUUCCGCCUACGCGCCCUUUACGCCCAAUAAAUCCGAUUAAUGCUUGCACCCUACGUAUUACCGCGGCUGCUGGCAC
RNAcentral lists this ribosomal RNA (292 nucleotides) under uncultured bacterium. Its description in RNAcentral is "partial 16S ribosomal RNA". The record is from RNAcentral.